This 399-nucleotide transfer-messenger RNA is filed under the name Paludibacteraceae. RNAcentral describes it as "UPXZ01 sp012837935 Standard tmRNA". It matches the Rfam family "transfer-messenger RNA". Rfam says of the family: Bacterial tmRNA, also known as 10Sa RNA or SsrA, is named for its dual tRNA and mRNA-like properties. Its role is to liberate the mRNA from a stalled ribosome. To accomplish this part of the tmRNA is used as a reading frame that ends in a translation stop signal. RNAcentral also lists the same sequence under 1 other name. The record is from RNAcentral. Lineage: Bacteria; Pseudomonadati; Bacteroidota; Bacteroidia; Bacteroidales.
GGGGCUGUUUGGUUUUGACAGCAAGUAGAAAAGGUAUGUAAGCAUGUCGAGCGUCGGAAUGCCGGCUCGUAAAUCCCGGAUUUCAACAACAAUAACUGGCGAAAAUAACUACGCUCUUGCUGCUUAAUCGAAUCAUAGUAGAUCGAGCUUAAUCCCGGCACAAGGUGCUGAGACGAGACAUCUCUCCGGAGCCGUGGCUUCGAGGCAAAGGAUAAAGAGGUGCAGCUAAAUCGAAGAUAGUCCUGCUUGGCUUCGCAUUCAGGAUGAAAUUUUAGAAGAUAAGGUAGUGGUUGGUAGCUUUGGUCUUGCUACUACUCGAAAACUGAAACAAAGAUAAACAUGUAGAAAGCAUAUUGUUUCCUUGUUUGGACGAGGGUUCGACUCCCUCCAGCUCCACAA